AGCGUACACGGUGGAUGCCCUGGCAGUCAGAGGCGAUGAAGGACGUGCUAAUCUGCGAUAAGCGUCGGUAAGGUGAUAUGAACCGUUAUAACCGGCGAUUUCCGAAUGGGGAAACCCAGUGUGAUUCGUCACACUAUCAUUAACUGAAUCCAUAGGUUAAUGAGGCGAACCGGGGGAACUGAAACAUCUAAGUACCCCGAGGAAAAGAAAUCAACCGAGAUUCCCCCAGUAGCGGCGAGCGAACGGGGAGCAGCCCAGAGCCUGAAUCAGUGUGUGUGUUAGUGGAAGCGUCUGGAAAGGCGCGCGAUACAGGGUGACAGCCCCGUACACAAAAAUGCACAUGCUGUGAGCUCGAUGAGUAGGGCGGGACACGUGGUAUCCUGUCUGAAUAUGGGGGGACCAUCCUCCAAGGCUAAAUACUCCUGACUGACCGAUAGUGAACCAGUACCGUGAGGGAAAGGCGAAAAGAACCCCGGCGAGGGGAGUGAAAAAGAACCUGAAACCGUGUACGUACAAGCAGUGGGAGCACGCUUAGGCGUGUGACUGCGUACCUUUUGUAUAAUGGGUCAGCGACUUAUAUUCUGUAGCAAGGUUAACCGAAUAGGGGAGCCGAAGGGAAACCGAGUCUUAACUGGGCGUUAAGUUGCAGGGUAUAGACCCGAAACCCGGUGAUCUAGCCAUGGGCAGGUUGAAGGUUGGGUAACACUAACUGGAGGACCGAACCGACUAAUGUUGAAAAAUUAGCGGAUGACUUGUGGCUGGGGGUGAAAGGCCAAUCAAACCGGGAGAUAGCUGGUUCUCCCCGAAAGCUAUUUAGGUAGCGCCUCGUGAAUUCAUCUCCGGGGGUAGAGCACUGUUUCGGCAAGGGGGUCAUCCCGACUUACCAACCCGAUGCAAACUGCGAAUACCGGAGAAUGUUAUCACGGGAGACACACGGCGGGUGCUAACGUCCGUCGUGAAGAGGGAAACAACCCAGACCGCCAGCUAAGGUCCCAAAGUCAUGGUUAAGUGGGAAACGAUGUGGGAAGGCCCAGACAGCCAGGAUGUUGGCUUAGAAGCAGCCAUCAUUUAAAGAAAGCGUAAUAGCUCACUGGUCGAGUCGGCCUGCGCGGAAGAUGUAACGGGGCUAAACCAUGCACCGAAGCUGCGGCAGCGACGCUUAUGCGUUGUUGGGUAGGGGAGCGUUCUGUAAGCCUGUGAAGGUGUACUGUGAGGUAUGCUGGAGGUAUCAGAAGUGCGAAUGCUGACAUAAGUAACGAUAAAGCGGGUGAAAAGCCCGCUCGCCGGAAGACCAAGGGUUCCUGUCCAACGUUAAUCGGGGCAGGGUGAGUCGACCCCUAAGGCGAGGCCGAAAGGCGUAGUCGAUGGGAAACAGGUUAAUAUUCCUGUACUUGGUGUUACUGCGAAGGGGGGACGGAGAAGGCUAUGUUGGCCGGGCGACGGUUGUCCCGGUUUAAGCGUGUAGGCUGGUUUUCCAGGCAAAUCCGGAAAAUCAAGGCUGAGGCGUGAUGACGAGGCACUACGGUGCUGAAGCAACAAAUGCCCUGCUUCCAGGAAAAGCCUCUAAGCAUCAGGUAACAUCAAAUCGUACCCCAAACCGACACAGGUGGUCAGGUAGAGAAUACCAAGGCGCUUGAGAGAACUCGGGUGAAGGAACUAGGCAAAAUGGUGCCGUAACUUCGGGAGAAGGCACGCUGAUAUGUAGGUGAAGUCCCUCGCGGAUGGAGCUGAAAUCAGUCGAAGAUACCAGCUGGCUGCAACUGUUUAUUAAAAACACAGCACUGUGCAAACACGAAAGUGGACGUAUACGGUGUGACGCCUGCCCGGUGCCGGAAGGUUAAUUGAUGGGGUCAGCGCAAGCGAAGCUCUUGAUCGAAGCCCCGGUAAACGGCGGCCGUAACUAUAACGGUCCUAAGGUAGCGAAAUUCCUUGUCGGGUAAGUUCCGACCUGCACGAAUGGCGUAAUGAUGGCCAGGCUGUCUCCACCCGAGACUCAGUGAAAUUGAACUCGCUGUGAAGAUGCAGUGUACCCGCGGCAAGACGGAAAGACCCCGUGAACCUUUACUAUAGCUUGACACUGAACAUUGAGCCUUGAUGUGUAGGAUAGGUGGGAGGCUUUGAAGUGUGGACGCCAGUCUGCAUGGAGCCGACCUUGAAAUACCACCCUUUAAUGUUUGAUGUUCUAACGUUGACCCGUAAUCCGGGUUGCGGACAGUGUCUGGUGGGUAGUUUGACUGGGGCGGUCUCCUCCUAAAGAGUAACGGAGGAGCACGAAGGUUGGCUAAUCCUGGUCGGACAUCAGGAGGUUAGUGCAAUGGCAUAAGCCAGCUUGACUGCGAGCGUGACGGCGCGAGCAGGUGCGAAAGCAGGUCAUAGUGAUCCGGUGGUUCUGAAUGGAAGGGCCAUCGCUCAACGGAUAAAAGGUACUCCGGGGAUAACAGGCUGAUACCGCCCAAGAGUUCAUAUCGACGGCGGUGUUUGGCACCUCGAUGUCGGCUCAUCACAUCCUGGGGCUGAAGUAGGUCCCAAGGGUAUGGCUGUUCGCCAUUUAAAGUGGUACGCGAGCUGGGUUUAGAACGUCGUGAGACAGUUCGGUCCCUAUCUGCCGUGGGCGCUGGAGAAUUGAGGGGGGCUGCUCCUAGUACGAGAGGACCGGAGUGGACGCAUCACUGGUGUUCGGGUUGUCAUGCCAAUGGCACUGCCCGGUAGCUAAAUGCGGAAGAGAUAAGUGCUGAAAGCAUCUAAGCACGAAACUUGCCCCGAGAUGAGUUCUCCCUGACUCCUUGA
This 2787-nucleotide ribosomal RNA is filed under the name Escherichia coli. Its description in RNAcentral is "bacterial LSU rRNA". It matches the Rfam family "Bacterial large subunit ribosomal RNA". The record is from RNAcentral. Lineage: Bacteria; Pseudomonadati; Pseudomonadota; Gammaproteobacteria; Enterobacterales; Enterobacteriaceae.